Lolium perenne is the source of this 1151-nucleotide long non-coding RNA. RefSeq lists it as uncharacterized. The record is from RefSeq and is a predicted model, not a curated record. Lineage: Eukaryota; Viridiplantae; Streptophyta; Magnoliopsida; Poales; Poaceae.
GCUACACUACCGAGUCUGACAUAGCUAAACUUUACACGUAUUCCUCCCCUGUGCUCACUGUACCACUUCGGACCAUUUUUUCCCUCUACUUUGCACUCCGAAUCUGCUUGGUGCCGCCGCUCCCCAAACCAAAAUCGCCGCCGUUAUCGCCAUUGUCCGUCGCCCAGAGUUGGCGAUUGAGGUGCUGGUGUAGGAGGGCCAUGCGAGCCAAGGAAGUUCCGUUGAAACUUGAGCGAGAAAUGUUGAUUUUCGUUCUUUAUCCAGGAGGCCGUCGGAUUGCGAGGCCUUUACUUGGAGGAGAUUAAGGCGUUGGUGUGUGGUGUUGGUUGGACUCGGUGAGGACAUGGCCAUAAAUUGGGGCAAGAAUAUUGAGAUGUGAAUCUGGUGGGUAACGUGACCAUCCCUAGUGGACUGAAUUUCGGGUGUCUCAUGGAAGUUCCCCCUGACUUGGUCCCAGAUGGGAGAUAGACAGCUUAUUGGAUUUACCUUCUGAAGGAUUUAGAGGCCUGCGGUCUCUUUUCUAGCUGGUGUAAGCUGCAAAUGCCGCGGUGUCAUUGAGUGUGCAUGUGAAACCCAGGAGGGAGGCCUGAGACGUAGGCACAUAUCAAUGAGAUGGUGCAGCAAAGUCUGCGUUAUCAUUGGACCGGACCAGGCGACCAGCGGUUGCCACCCGUUGAGAUAGUCAAGCCGCGCGGAUCUAGGAAGUGGUGAGGAGGGGCGGCCUUAGCUGCGGCGAUAGCUCGAGGCUGUGGCCCCUGUGCUGCACCUGGAGAUGAUUGCCCUUUUGCCGUCGUAGGCGCCAGCAAGCAAUCCACGGUAGGUCACGAGGCCAGGUGAGGAGGGGCGGCCUUAGUUGCGAUCCACGGCAAAUCAGGAGGCCAGGUGAGGAGGGGCGGCCUUAGUUGCGGCCAUAGCUCGGCUCCACGGGCAGUUGAGACGGCCAUCGGAGACGGUGUAUGCCUGUACAACGCCCCGGACAUCCUUUGUUCUUUGAAGUACAAUAAUGCUUAACUGAACGAAUCUGGUGCUCUUGAUGUAUAGCAACAAUCCCCAAGCUUCACCUCAAAUGCUCUCCUCUCCCCCUGUCUCCUCAUUGAUGUUAUUUGAUCUUAAGCACAUAAUCAAAUAAAAAGAUUGCAUCCGCGUGGAAA